Gasterosteus aculeatus aculeatus (three-spined stickleback) is the source of this 77-nucleotide small nucleolar RNA. Ensembl annotates it as Small nucleolar RNA SNORD121A. The record is from Ensembl. NCBI's taxonomy places the organism in Eukaryota, Metazoa, Chordata, Actinopteri, Perciformes, Gasterosteidae.
UGUCUGGAGAUGAUGAUGAUUACAAGCACACAUCCUAAACAUUUUAUGUGGAAACUAUUUUACUGAAUCUCCUGUCU